RNAcentral lists this unclassified non-coding RNA (374 nucleotides) under air metagenome. RNAcentral's name for it is "partial contains small subunit ribosomal RNA, internal transcribed spacer 1, and 5.8S ribosomal RNA". The stretch from base 1 to 46 matches the Rfam family "Eukaryotic small subunit ribosomal RNA", at positions 1786 to 1831 of the family's 1831-position model. The record is from RNAcentral.
AAGUCGUAACAAGGUUUCCGUAGGUGAACCUGCGGAAGGAUCAUUAUUGAGACAUGAAUCGUAGCAUUGAGAACUGUUGCUGACCUGUUAAAGGGUAUGUGCACGUUGUGAGUGUUGCGUUUUAUUCUUUUUUCCCUGUGCACGUUUGUAGACUUGGUUGUUGAGUGGUUAGAAGGGUUGCUGGAAAGCUCUCUUUGCUUAGGAUUGAAGGGUUGCUGCAAAGCUCCCUUUGCCUAGGAUUUCACUUGUGCAAAGCUCGCGCUUUGUGUACCAGGUCUAUGUCUAUAAUCUCUUGUAUGUAUAGAAUGUCUUGUUUAUAGGACGCAAGUCCUUUAAAUGUUAUACAACUUUCAACAACGGAUCUCUUGGCUCUC